GAUGGCUGAGGAAGAGCAAAAUUUCAACUUGACAAUCACAGAUGACUGCUGAAGCAGAUACAACCACUGAGGCAAAAAUCUGAUUGCAAGGAACCUGAACUCCCUGACUUGAACACCUGCAAAGGACAGGGAUUAGGGCCCUUAGGUACACUACUCUGCACCCAGGAGUUACAAAUCACUAACACUCUGAACUGUGACUUUUCUGGCGUCCCAUUCAGAUGAUUUUUAUGAUGUAUGUGGUUUUUAUUUGCUCUGUGGGCUUGCACAAGCCAUCCUAAGACCUUCAUGGUAAAAUUUCAAUCCUGUCUCAAAUUGACAGUUUAAACCCUUAAUAAAGCCUUAUAUUUUAAAGCACACAUACACACACACACAUACAUGUCAGGCCUCUGAACCCAAGCCAAGCCAUCGCAUCCCCUGUGACUUGCAUGUAUAUGCCCAGAUGGCCUGAAGUAACUGAAGAAUCACAAAAGAAGUGAAAACGCCCUGCCCCGCCUUAACUGAUGACAUUCCACCAUUGUGAUUUGUUCCUGCCCCACCUUAGCUGAGUGAUUAACCCUGUGAAUUUCCUUCUCCUGGCUCAGAAGCUCCCCGACUGAGCACCUUGUGACCCCCGCCCCUGCCCACCAGAGAACAACCCCCUUUGACUGUAAUUUUCCAUUACCUUCCCAAAUCCUAUAAAACGGCCCCACCCCUAUCUCCCUUCGCUGACUCUCUUUUCGGACUCAGCCCGCCUGCACCCAGGUGAAAUAGACAGCCAUGUUGCUCACACAAAGCCUGUUUGCUGGUCUCUUCACACUGACUCGAGUGAAAUUUGGUGCCGUGACUAGGAUCGGGGGACCUCCCUUGGGAGAUCAAUCCCCCGUCCUCCUACACUUUGCUCUGUGAGAAAGAUCCACCUACAACCUCAGGUCCUCAGACCAACCAGCCCAAGAAACAUCUCACCAAUUUCAAAUCCGUGAUAGAUCACAACAAGAGAUCAUGAAGAGGGCAUGGCCGCCAUGUCAUUCUGGAGAGAGACAGAGUAAAACAAAGAAGGUGAUGGAGUCUUGUUCUGCAACCCAGGCUGGAGUGGAGGGCAGUGGUGUGAUCUCGGCUCACUUCAACCUCCGCCUCUUAGGUUCAAGUGAUUCUCCUGCCUCAGCCUCCCGAGUAGCUGGGACUACAGCAGCCUCUCUACAAGUCUCCUAACUUAACCUGAUGGGAAAACACUUCCUACCACUAACAGCAUCUACUUGAUUACUGAUACUUUGAUCAUGGAGUUUGGGCAUGCCACUUGAUAGAAAUUUGAAGAGCAAUUAUAUUUUUCAAAAAGAGUUUUGAAUAAUGUUAAGAUAGAUUGCAACAUGACUAUCAAUUCUUCCCUUCCCAUCAAAGGAGAGAGUCCGUUUAUCCAGCCUUUGAAUCUUGAUUAUUCAUGUGACUUGCUUCACCCAAUGUAACAUUAAUAAGCACAAUACAAGCAGAGGCUUGCCAAGAACUUGGUUUGUUUCUAAUGCUUAGAAGAAGAAUGGUGUAUGCCAUAUUUCUGCAUUUAGAACUCACGUGGAGACAUGUGUGGCCCAAUUGCUUCUCUUUCAUCUCAGGCAAUAACCAGACACGGGACUGAGGCCAUCCAUGACCAGCCAGCCCUAGCCAACACACAACACACAAGCUGAUCACAGAUGCAUGAGUAAGCCUGAGACCAGCCAAGACCAGCCUAGAAUAGAACUGCUCAGCAGCAAUAAAAACUAAAUAAAUUGUUACCUUAAGCUACUUUUAGAGCUAUUUGGAAGUGUAUUUUUGUGCAGCUAACAUUUACUAGCAGAUAAAAUGGUGAUUGUUUAUCUCUGUUUUAUUGAUGUUUUAAGGAAAUUGUUUCUAUUAAAAGGAAAUAUCUGGUCUUUGUCACGUUAAAUCAGGUUUAGCCUGAAGUUGUCUCCUUAAAUUUGCGGCACAACUCCCACCCUGCAAUACUUCAAAUUGUUUCACCUUUUUUGACAGAACCAAGGUAUAUCUUAAAUGUACUUGAUUGAUGUCUCAUGUCUCCCUAAAAUGUAUAAAACCAAACUGUGCUCUGACUACCUUGGGUACAUGUUCUGAGGGUCUCCUGAAGGCUGUGUCACAGGCCAUGGUCUUUCAUAUUUGGCUUAAAACAAAUCUCUUCAAAUAUUUUAUGUAGUUUGACUCUUUUCCUCAAUAGAACUCAUCAUUUAACCAGUUAAGUAUUUUGAGUUAGUUUGGGAUUAAACACGAGAGUUUUGACAGGGAGCUGAAACAAUAGUAGUUUCAUCAAAAGUUGAUUCUUGGUGCAUGUAAUUUUCUAUUACAGUGAACACAGAUAAUAAUGAUGCAUAUGUCUUUACCUAGAUUAGAGAAAGGAAGAGAAAAAAUAAAAAUUUUGGAAAUGAGAUAAAAAGAUAUUGAUCUCACUGAUGUUUCUGAAUCUAAGACUGAACUCAAUUAUUAGUUGUAUUUACUGCUUAUUAGAUUUACUAAGAAAGUUCUUUAAGGUACUUACAGCCCUAAAAUUAUUUGCAAUAUUCAAUAGCAAGGGACUUAAAUACAGUCCUGAUUACUCCAUCACAAAAUGCCAAAAACAAUUAGGAUCUUAAAGGAACUACCCAAAUAGGUUUAAGAUAUCACUCAGGCCAUAAAAAUGUUUUUAAAAUUCACAUCACAAAAUAGCCAAAUGACAUAUCAGAAACAAAAGCAAAAAAGUCAUCCUAAUUCAAGGCAAUUACUUUAGCAAUUCAAAAUAAAAUGUUAAAAGUGACCAAAAAACAAAUGCAAAAUAUUUUAAUGACUUUAAAUGGCUGUAUAAUUUCCUCAUCACUUCACUUGGCAGAGUUAAGAUGGCAUUUAACCUAAGUUCACAUCAUUAAAAAAAACACUGCACCAUGAUGCUUUUCUUAAUAUGCAUUCUCAAAUUAGCAUACAGAGAAAAAUGAAACUAUAGUAGAGACGUAAAUUUAAUCCCUAUUUAGGUCACUAGGCAUUUAUUAGCCCCACCACAGGUUAAUACACUUGCAUUUGCAUCUGUUUCUAAAUGCUAAUUAUCUGACCUCAGAACACUCACUUAUGGGCUUCAUUUAUUGAAAAACAAAUCCCUAUGAUUUGAUCGUAGAGUAACUUUUAAUGUCUAACUUUACGUAGUAUAUUACAGUUUUCAAAACAUUUUUAUAAAAAGUAUUUUGUUUAUUUACAGCAACUAUAUAUCAUAGAUAUUAAUGUGUAUAUUUUGCAUUUAAGCAAGUUGGAGUUCGUAAGGUUGAAUUACUUGAAAUGUACAAAUAGAUAGUAGUGAAUAUUUAAAGUACAUUUUUAAAAAUAUGACCCAGAAAAAUAGGUGGCAUUUAAGAAAUAUAAGCAUGGUAUCUAUCUUACAUGUAUAUUAGGAGUGGACAGUUUUCUAAGAUUAGAAGCAAACAGUUGUCAAGCAAGGGUUCUAAUUUUUGUAAGUCUUGUGGGAAAGAAAGAUAAUAGAGGGUUUCAUUGCAAAGAUAUAAAACUACUCUAGAUAAUUUAAGCAAAAACUAAUCUAAUAAAUUGGGUUUUCCAAAUUAUUGAAACACCUUGAGAACUAGUGCCUGGGUAGGCCUGGAGAAAUGACUCCAGGAACAGCAUUACAGAACUCACCUGCCCAGUGGUAACAGUGCCCAGAUUGCUCUUCUCCAUUAUCCAGCCAGAGUUCCAGAUCAGCCUGAAUACUUCACCUCUGGGAAGACUUUGCAGAACCUCCAGAUUUAUGCCACCUCUAUAACCUGUGUAAUAUUAUUACAAUGCAUAUUAUGUUCUAUUUCACUUACAGUCAGCCCUCCUUAUCUGUGGGUUCCACAAACAUGGAUUCAACCCACAGUAAAAUGAAAAUAUUUGGGGAAAAAAUUAAUGUUUGAGUCUGUAUUGAACACGUAGACUUUUUCUUGUCACUGUUCCCUAAACAAUACAGUAUAACAACUAUUUACAUAGUAUUUACAUUAUAUUGGGCAUUAUAAGUAAUUAAAGAUGAUUUAAGUAUAUGGAAAGAUGUAUAUAGGUUAUAUGCAAGUACUGUGCCAUUUUAUAUAAAGCACUUGAACAUCACAGAUUUUGGUAUCAAUGAGGGGUGCUGAAACCAAUUGCCCAUGGAUACCAAGAGACAGCUAUAUUUGUUUCAAUGUGUACCUCUCCUUCUAAACUCAGUUCUUAAGCAUAUAGUAUCUUUAUAGCUAUACACCUAGUGUCUAUCAGACCCUAAACUAUGGUAGGCCCUCAAUACAUUUUAUUGUUAUAGGUAGAUAGAUAGGCAUGAGUAGGGCAGGAGAGGGCUCUCCCUCCACCCACUAGAAAUGUCAAGUGAUGUUUUAAAAAUUGUCACACUGCCUCUCAGAAAAUGAUAAUUCAGCAACCGGGGAGAGACAAUCUUCUGAUGGUCCACACCUAUUAACAUUAAAGUGUUAUUAAAGGCAGACCCCAGAAAGAAGAAACUUACUGGGCAUGCACAUUAAGAGAUAAAAACGGCAAAAUAUUAUCUUCCACGUACCCACAACUGGAAAAAAGGAAGAAAGCUUCAGGUGGGCAUAUGUACUCUUCCUAAACACACUGCGCAUGCUCACUUCCCAACUGUAGAGAGGGCUCUGCACAUACGGGAAGAAUCUCGGGAAAGAGGUGAACCUAUAAAAGGCCAAGAAUCAUGGUUGAACGGGACAUUUGACCUUCUCUCUUAAACCUUCAUGUGCCUGCUUGGGUCUCUUCCAACUGCACCUUCCUUUCUUUCCUGUUCUAAGGCCUUUUUAAAUAAACUUCCACUCAUGCUCUG
RNAcentral lists this long non-coding RNA (4774 nucleotides) under Homo sapiens (human). RNAcentral describes it as "HSALNT0075674". Lineage: Eukaryota; Metazoa; Chordata; Mammalia; Primates; Hominidae. The record is from RNAcentral.